GGGAAGGUGGCUCAGUGGUAGAGCGCUUGCCUUGUAUGCAUGAGGCCCUGGGUUC
This 55-nucleotide transfer RNA is filed under the name Dipodomys ordii (Ord's kangaroo rat). It matches the Rfam family "tRNA", at positions 1 to 54 of the family's 71-position model. Rfam says of the family: Transfer RNA (tRNA) molecules are approximately 80 nucleotides in length. Lineage: Eukaryota; Metazoa; Chordata; Mammalia; Rodentia; Heteromyidae. The record is from Rfam by way of RNAcentral.